RNAcentral lists this ribosomal RNA (245 nucleotides) under uncultured Bacillota bacterium. RNAcentral describes it as "uncultured Firmicutes bacterium partial 16S ribosomal RNA". It matches the Rfam family "Bacterial small subunit ribosomal RNA", at positions 524 to 768 of the family's 1533-position model. The record is from RNAcentral. Lineage: Bacteria; Bacillati; Bacillota.
AACGUAGGUGGCAAGCGUUGUCCGGAAUUACUGGGUGUAAAGGGAGCGCAGGUGGGCUGACAAGUCAAAUGUGAAAUACAGGAGCUCAACUCCUGAACUGCGUUUGAUACUGUUGGUCUUGAGUGGAGUAGAGGAAAGCGGAAUUCCCGGUGUAGCGGUGGAAUGCGUAGAUAUCGGGAGGAACACCAGUGGCGAAGGCGGCUUUCUGGGCUCUAACUGACACUGAGGCUCGAAAGCGUGGGUAG